Ruditapes philippinarum (Manila clam) is the source of this 758-nucleotide long non-coding RNA. RefSeq lists it as uncharacterized. NCBI's taxonomy places the organism in Eukaryota, Metazoa, Mollusca, Bivalvia, Venerida, Veneridae. The record is from RefSeq and is a predicted model, not a curated record. The transcript has 3 exons.
UACUUUCACUUUCGAUUUACCACUUCCGGGUACAUCGGCAGACCUAUUUACCGUUACGCAUAUAGGUAACCCGAAGAACUCGAGGGAUAUAGAAGUUAAAUUUGUUUCGGUCCUCUUCAGAUUUGAAGGAAUGGAUAGCACGGGUCAAAAAAUGCAGAUGUAUAGACAAGGAGGUAUAUGACAAGUAUAGAAUAUACAGUUGUUCAAUAUGGACCAUUAAUCAACUGUUUGCACUGCCUAUGAUCCUGAAAUAUCUAUACAUCAAAGAUAAAAAGGGAAAAGAUGAAGGAGGAUUUGUCCAUGAAGACCUUUAUUGCAACUACCAUCUUCCAGUUCCAUAAUUUGAGAAUGAUAUCAGAGAACACAAAGUUACAGUGAAAUAUUAGUUAAUAUAAGCCACUGAGAAUAGUCAAAUGUACUUUCCUGAAGAAGAUCAAUGACAUCCAGCACAAAAAUAUUAAUGUAUAAAGAGUAUGAUUUUAUGGUGUUUGACACUAUGAUCUUGUUAACAUGUUAAUGUCACAAUGAUAGAAACAGAGUAAAAUAUCCACAUUUCAUUGCAGUUUUAAGUAUUAUUACUAGAUACUCUAUAUAUACCAAAGCUGAUAACACACCAGAGAUAAGGUUUUUCAUGGAAUCACAGUAUAGUCAUAUGACAUUAUGGACAUUAAAUGACUAUGAAGUAAAGAUUAGCAAAAAUAUUAUAUAUCAUCUACUACUAAUAUUGUGAGGUAAUCAUUGAUAAGCUCACAAUUUGC